UACAGAGGUCUCAAGCGUUGUUCGGAUUCAUUGGGCGUAAAGGGUGCGUAGGCGGCGCGGUAAGUCGGGUGUGAAAUCUCGGAGCUUAACUCCGAAACUGCAUUCGAUACUGCCGUGCUUGAGGACGGGAGAGGAGACUGGAAUUUACGGUGUAGCGGUGAAAUGCGUAGAUAUCGUAAGGAAGACCAGUGGCGAAGGCGGGUCUCUGGACAGUUCCUGACGCUGAGGCACGAAGGUCAGGGGAGCAAACGGG
Molecule: ribosomal RNA, 253 nt
Filed under: uncultured bacterium
Lineage: Bacteria
Description: partial 16S ribosomal RNA
Rfam family: Bacterial small subunit ribosomal RNA
Source: RNAcentral